Molecule: ribosomal RNA, 319 nt
Filed under: uncultured eukaryote
Lineage: Eukaryota
Description: partial 18S ribosomal RNA
Rfam family: Eukaryotic small subunit ribosomal RNA
Source: RNAcentral
CCCUUAGAUGUUCUGGGCAGCACGCGCGCUACAAUGGUCUUCGCAAACGGAUGCAUUCUCGAAGGAGAAUGCCAAUCUUGGAAUCUAUGCCUUGGUCGGGACAGUUGCUUGCAAUUUUUCGACUCGAACCAGGAAUUCCUUGUAAUCGUGAUUCAUCACAUCACGAUGAAUACGUCCCUGCCCUUUGUACACACCGCCCGUCGCUCCUACCGAUCGAAGAGUUAGGUGAAUUGUUUUGAUCGAUAAGAUUUGACUAUGGUCAACUCUCGUUGUGAAAUUCUGCGAAUCUGACUGUUUAGAGGAAGGAAAAGUCGUAACA